Molecule: long non-coding RNA, 237 nt
Filed under: Cervus hanglu yarkandensis (Yarkand deer)
Lineage: Eukaryota; Metazoa; Chordata; Mammalia; Artiodactyla; Cervidae
Description: lncRNA (ENSCHYG00000016184.1)
Source: RNAcentral
GUGGGAGUGGAAAUUGAGGGCCAGAGAUCACUGGUGACGUAGACCUCAUGUGACCACGAGUCGACGUGUGCAGAAGUCCUGCUAGUCUGGUCCUUGUUCCCGUUUGGGUACCAGCUUCCUUCAGCAGCGGUAGCCGGUGGGGCCAACGGUGGGGAAGGAGAAGGAGUCUACUGGCUGAAAUUUUUCAGAAGUAGUUGUUUUCAAAUAAGAAUAAGUAGAAGAAAAGAAAGGAAGAGG